GGAUGUGAGGGCGAUCUGACUGCAACAUCUGUUACCCCACUUAUUGCCAGGGUUGAUUCGGCUGAUCUGGCUGGCUAGGCGGGUGUCCCCUUCCUCCCUCACUGUUCCCUUUGUGUGUCCCUCCUGAAGCUGCUCACUCAGUCAGUAGAGGAGGACGGUUUCCUCUGUCAAAGGUAUACAAGUAGCUGCGAUCUCCUGCUAGAACCUCCAAACAAGCUCUCUAGAUGUGUCAGACCAAACCAAAACAAAAGCAGGUGUGACUGUGAGUGUUACAAGAU
This is an unclassified non-coding RNA of Fukomys damarensis (Damara mole-rat), 278 nucleotides long. Its record names the gene 7SK. It matches the Rfam family "7SK RNA". From Rfam's summary of the family: 7SK was discovered as an abundant small nuclear RNA in the mid-70s but a possible function has only recently been suggested. NCBI's taxonomy places the organism in Eukaryota, Metazoa, Chordata, Mammalia, Rodentia, Bathyergidae. The record is from Ensembl.